GACGAACGCUGGCGGCGUGCUUAACACAUGCAAGUCGAACGGAAAGGCCCUGCUUUUGUGGGGUGCUCGAGUGGCGAACGGGUGAGUAACACGUGAGUAACCUGCCCUUGACUUUGGGAUAACUUCAGGAAACUGGGGCUAAUACCGGAUAGGAGCUCCUGCUGCAUGGUGGGGGUUGGAAAGUUUCGGCGGUUGGGGAUGGACUCGCGGCUUAUCAGCUUGUUGGUGGGGUAGUGGCUUACCAAGGCUUUGACGGGUAGCCGGCCUGAGAGGGUGACCGGCCACAUUGGGACUGAGAUACGGCCCAGACUCCUACGGGAGGCAGCAGUGGGGAAUAUUGCACAAUGGGCGGAGGCCUGAUGCAGCAACGCCGCGUACGGGAUGACGGCCUUCGGGUUGUAAACCGCUUUCGCCUGUGACGAAGCGUGAGUGACGGUAAUGGGUAAAGAAGCACCGGCUAACUACGUG
This 468-nucleotide ribosomal RNA is filed under the name uncultured bacterium. Its description in RNAcentral is "partial 16S ribosomal RNA". It matches the Rfam family "Bacterial small subunit ribosomal RNA", at positions 28 to 507 of the family's 1533-position model. The record is from RNAcentral.